Dromiciops gliroides (monito del monte) is the source of this 529-nucleotide long non-coding RNA. RefSeq lists it as uncharacterized. The record is from RefSeq and is a predicted model, not a curated record. The transcript has 5 exons. NCBI's taxonomy places the organism in Eukaryota, Metazoa, Chordata, Mammalia, Microbiotheria, Microbiotheriidae.
CACAGUCGGACUAUGGGAAAAAGAGUUCUCCUCUGUGCAGCUGGGGCACCGGGCCUGGUGCGGCUUUCUGCCUAGAGGAAGCAAUUGGGGACCAAAGAGAUAAGUUGGUUUGACCAAAGUCACAUAAGUUGUGAGUGGACAAGUCUGGAUUUGAACACGAGUCCUCUGAUUCUAUAUCUUCGACCCUUUCUAAAGGGCCAUUGCUGCGUGCCAGAAGAGGAAUACAUGCAAGAGCAGACAUUGAACUGUCACAUGAGGGGAGACAUGCACGAAGUCAAGGUACGGCCGAGGGAACGACUUCUGACAAACACUGAGGUAGUGAAUUACUAGGGUCCUGCUUUGUCAGCACCAUGGCCAGCACGCUGCUCUUUUCAUCUGAAGCUCACCUCUUAUUGACGGCACCAGAUGGGGAAUUGAAAAGGAAAUGUGACUUACUCAAGAUUGCUCAGAGAGGAGAGUCAGAUGUCGAGGGAGCAAAUGGAAACCAGAUCUAUCUGGUGACUGGUGUAAAUACCUUUGUAAUUUCCAC